This is a long non-coding RNA of Hordeum vulgare subsp. vulgare (domesticated barley), 456 nucleotides long. RefSeq lists it as uncharacterized. The transcript is spliced from 2 exons. Lineage: Eukaryota; Viridiplantae; Streptophyta; Magnoliopsida; Poales; Poaceae. The record is from RefSeq and is a predicted model, not a curated record.
UAUGGUAGUUGAAGAGGACACUGGGACGUCACAGGGCAAGGGAGUUGAUGAGGCUGCCUAUGGAGACUUUGCUCACUUGGCCUCCACUGAUGAAGGAGCGACAGACGAGCCAGACGGUUGGGACUGGCACCAGGCGUAGGGGGCUCUGGUACAUGGACCAGGAGGUGCAACCGGACUUGGUGUGUGCUGUGACCAUGGAGGACAAGGAGAAGUAGGCGAUGAUCCAUCAUUGUAGAAUGGGUCAUGUAUCUUUUGAUAAGAUGAGUAGAAUCUUUCCAGAUGUUAUGUGUGGAAUAGGCAAGGGCAAGUUGACAUGUGAUGCUUGUGAAUAUGCAAAACACACACGAGCCUCAUAUGUGAGUAAGGGGCUUAGGAGCAUAUCUCCUUUUAUGCUCAUUCAUUCGGGUGUAUGGACUAGCCCAGUAGUGUCAAUGAAUGGAAAGAAGUAUUUUGUUA